CAGAUGGUAUUUAUUUGCUGUUUGUCUUAAAUUGCAUUCUUAUGCAUCAUAGAGACUGCGAUAAGGAGAAGAAAAAAUAUUUUCUACAGGACCAUCCAAACAUGACAAGAGCAAAAAUCACCCCCUGCAGAACCUAGGAGCUACGUGCAGAACUUUACAGAGUUGAGGCAGCGCCGUAGCUGAGGCCUGACUGCUAACCAGGGAGUGGAGCUCUGAGUGCACUCAAGGAACGCAAGGAAGCCAGGCAGGGAGGAAGGGGCCGGCGGAGUCUAACUUCAGCUGCCAUCUUUUUUGGUGGCACAUCUCGUGGUCACAGGUUGUAGGCUGUGUUUCUGGAAGGUUCAGGUACAGCGCAAGAUUCCACUUGUCUACUUGGCUAUCUCUGUGCCUGAGGUGCCAUGAGGCCAACGGACGUCACUCAAAUUCAUGUCCAGCCAAACUCCCACAGCAAAGAAUCCCGAACCGAGGAUGAAGUUCCUCUAGAAAGCAUUCCUAUCUGUGGCAAAGCUGCAGACACCCCGAAACCCAUCUCCCACCUCGUCUGGAAUUUCAGGAGCUUCGUUUGCUGAGCCAGUGCACUCAUGGCAACCCUGCAGGAAGCCAUGUGGCACCUCUGGGCUUUGCACCGUGUGUGUUCUCUUCUCUAAACUGCUGUUUUUGCUUAGCAAAGAGCCUCGCCUGCCACUGAUGAUGGCAGUGUGGGGUCAUUUUGAAUGGCUGCCUGACACUGCAUGGCACAUUCACGUACACAGUCCUGUGGGAUCGUGACAUAAUAAGAAAUAGAUAUUUCAUCUCUGCCCCUGGUUCCUGACACAGAGCUCCUAAAACCAUUGAAAUUUCCUGGAUAAUAGGAGCUUCUUCUGUUCCAAUGGGGUGACUCUUGGUGGGCUCCUGGAUGGGGGCUGGUCACUAGCGAGACCACACCAUGAUGAGAAACCUGGAGCUUCAGCCCUACCCCCACCUCUGAGCAGGGGAGACGGGCUAGCUAGAGGCGCGGUUCCUAAUGCGCCAUAUGCCUACAUGAAGACGUCUCCGUAAAAGUCCCUCAGCAGUGGGGGUUUGGAGAGCUCCCAGGUUGGUGAACACAUCUCUUUGUGGGGGGCGUGGAGCACCCCAGCUCCCCAGGGCUGGCAGCUCCUGUGCUGAGAACGCUUCUGGACUUCGCCUUACGCACCCUUCAUCUGACUCCUCAUCCCUAUCCUUUAUCGUAUCUUUUAUAAUAAACAUGUUUCUCGCCAGGCGCGGUGGCUCACGCCUGUAAUCCCAGCACUUCGGGAGGCUGAGGUGGGCAGAUCACCUGAGGUUGGGAGUUUGAGACCAGCCUGACCAGCAUGGAGAAACGCUGUCUCUACUAAAAAUAAAAAAUUAGCCAGGUGUGGUGGUGCAUGCCUGCAAU
This 1396-nucleotide long non-coding RNA is filed under the name Homo sapiens (human). Its description in RNAcentral is "non-protein coding lnc-BRD1-5:1". Lineage: Eukaryota; Metazoa; Chordata; Mammalia; Primates; Hominidae. The record is from RNAcentral.